Molecule: ribosomal RNA, 439 nt
Filed under: uncultured bacterium
Lineage: Bacteria
Description: bacterial SSU rRNA
Rfam family: Bacterial small subunit ribosomal RNA
Source: RNAcentral
AACGCGAAGAACCUUACCCAGACUUGACAUGCAGUGGACAGUUCCAGAAAUGGAAUCUCCCUUCGGGGCCGCUGCACAGGUGCUGCAUGGCUGUCGUCAGCUCGUGCCGUGAGGUGUUGGGUUAAGUCCCGCAACGAGCGCAACCCUUAUCAUUAGUUGCCAGCAUUUAAGGUGGGAACUCUAAUGAGACUGCCUGGGUUAACCAGGAGGAAGGUGAGGAUGACGUCAAGUCCGCAUGGCCCUUAUGUCUGGGGCUACACACGUGCUACAAUGGUCGGUACAGAAGGCAGCAGAACCGCAAGGUGAAGCAAAUCCCAAAAAGCCGGCCUCAGUUCAGAUUGUAGUCUGCAACUCGACUACAUGAAGACGGAAUUGCUAGUAAUGGCGAGUCAGCAACAUCGCCGUGAAUACGUUCCCGGGCCUUGUACACACCGGCUAC